GCCGGGAUGGUCUAAUCGGUGAAGGCGUCGCCCCGGUUGGACGAAGGUUGCGGGUUCGAUCCUCGCUUUCGGCC
Molecule: transfer RNA, 74 nt
Filed under: Ixodes scapularis (black-legged tick)
Lineage: Eukaryota; Metazoa; Arthropoda; Arachnida; Ixodida; Ixodidae
Rfam family: tRNA
About the family: Transfer RNA (tRNA) molecules are approximately 80 nucleotides in length. Their secondary structure includes four short double-helical elements and three loops (D, anti-codon, and T loops).
Source: Rfam by way of RNAcentral